RNAcentral lists this long non-coding RNA (1724 nucleotides) under Sparus aurata (gilthead seabream). Its description in RNAcentral is "lncRNA (ENSSAUG00010026294.1)". The record is from RNAcentral. Lineage: Eukaryota; Metazoa; Chordata; Actinopteri; Spariformes; Sparidae.
AGGUCAGCAACAUAGCAGCGGUGGUGCUAUAGACUCUGACUACUGAAUAAACCACAUUUCUCCUAUGCUGCCACCUAGAGACAUCUCCUAAGAUAACACAGCAUUCUCAAUGACAUGAUCACACAUCUGGAUCUGUGAGACACAUGGAGUUUAAAGCAUCCACAGUCCGCCAUAUUGAUUGUGGCAACUCUGCCACGUGAACUAAUACAAGUCAAUGGAGUGAACUUUAUAAAGCUCCUUUUACAAAGUGCUAUAACUUAAUGCCUCUCAUUUACACAUUUACACACGUACGAAUAUUUUUGGGAAACAGAUAAGUACCAAAAACAACGUCUGUUACAUUCUCUAAUGAUUAGAACGAUAACUACUCCUUAUAUGUUUAGUCUACAGGUAGGCACCAAACCCACAGAUGUAUUUUUCUAAUGUUUACAUUUACAUUUACAUUAAGGGCAUUUAUCAGGCGCUUUUGUCCAAAGCAACUUAUAAUAAGUGCAUUUGUCACAAGAGAGAAACCACGACAUCACCGUCGAGGGAGCAAAAAGAGAAAUAUAGAAACAAUUGUCAAGCCCUCAUCUGAGGAUCAUAACUGCUAUUUGUCAAAGAUUCUUUAAGCGCACAAGUGCUAUGCACGUGACUUAUAAGCAAUUGGUCAUAUAUCAUAUCAGCCUGUAACACAGGGAGCUCAUUAUUUCAAGCACCCAGUGGUCACCUACAGCAACCUAUAGUAACAGUAGCUUCAUGAGACUUACCCACAGUCAGGCUAUGCCAGUGAAUGUAAUGCUCUUACUGUGAUGAUACAUGACAUUUAAAUACUAAAUCUGUGUCUAUAAUAACCAGAAUUGUCGAUCUAAAUGUGUGUGUUUCCUCACAACGUAUGGAACUAUUUCGCCAAUCAACACCGAGAAAGGAUCGAAUGUGACCCUUCAGUGUCGUCUGGAUCCCGAGGUCAACUUGGUGCAUUAUGCAUCUGUCUGGUACAGAGCUGAUCUCUUUAGGUUCGUUCACAUCUAUCCAUACACAUGUGAUGAUGAUCUGUACAGAGGCAGGACCACUCUGGUCCAUGAAGACCUGAGCAGAGGAGUCCUGACCCUGCAGAUCUCCUCAGUCCAGCUGUCUGACGCUGGGCCGUACAGAUGUGUGGUCCCAAGUUUGAGGGCAGUUUGCACCAUUAACCUCACUGUUGGAAAGAGAGAAACACCCAGCACAACCGGACCUCCACUGGACCCUGUGACCGAGCAAGACGACCCGGGUAAAUAACUCUGAGUCGUUGGUUUUUAGAUUCUGUUGACAUUUUCAUUUCAUGUGAAAAAUAUAUCUGCUCUCUUCUUCUCUGUCUCCUCUGCAGUUAACUCCAACGUCCUUGUCAAUGAGGAGAAGGAGAAGAAGGAGGAGGAGGAGAGACCUGCAGGAAACCAUUUCCGUAACAUCGUCUGAGAGGUGAAGUGAUGGAGGGCAGUCUGUCGACGACCAUGAGGCACAAAAUGAUUUUCUAAAUGCCAAAAAUAACCAAAAUGUCAACUUGUAUAAUCUAAAUAAUCUGUUUAACUGGAGAUGUGUUGUAAUGACAUUGCUGCAGACUGAAUCAUCUCAACAUCCACUGGAUGGACGUUCAUGUUUCACCUCAGGAUAAAUUAUAAUGGCUGCAUCCGAAAUUCCAUACUAACAUGCUACUGAGUAUGCUAAAACAAUAUGUGAGAUUUUUUAGUAUGUCCGAAACCUUAGUAUGC